This 361-nucleotide RNase P RNA is filed under the name Bacteroidales bacterium. Its description in RNAcentral is "RNase P RNA component class A". It matches the Rfam family "Bacterial RNase P class A". Rfam says of the family: Ribonuclease P (RNase P) is a ubiquitous endoribonuclease, found in archaea, bacteria and eukarya as well as chloroplasts and mitochondria. Lineage: Bacteria; Pseudomonadati; Bacteroidota; Bacteroidia; Bacteroidales. The record is from RNAcentral.
ACAGCAAUUCGUUCUGUCGCUAUAUUAAUUGUUUGAUAUAGAGGAAAGUCCGGACAACAUAGAGCAUCAUACUUCCUAACGGGAAGGACUUGUGAAAACAAGGACAGAUAGUGCCACAGAAAAUAACCGCCUUGAAAAAGGUAAGGGUGAAAACGCGAGGUAAGAGCUCACGUGCAACAUAGGCGACUGUGUUGUAAGGCAAACCUUAUGAGUUGAAAGACCAUGUAAACUGAGGAUUGAGGGCUGCUCGUCCGAUCUCAGAGGGUGGGUCGAUAGAGGUGUUUAGUGAUAAACAUCCCAGAUAAAUGACAGAAAUAUUGAUUCCAAUAUACAGAAUCCGGCUUAUAGAAUUGCUGUUUUU